AUGGAAACUCCAUUGAGCACUCUGCUGGUGCUCCUGUGUGUGCAGCUGACCUGGUCAAAUGGACAACUGCCAGUGGAACAGAAUGCUCCUUCCCUAAAAGUCAAGGAAGGUGACAGCGUCACACUGAACUGCAGUUACAGAGACAGCGCUUCAGAUUUCUUGCAGUGUUUCAGGCAGGAUGCUGAGGAAGGCGUCAUUUCCUUGAUACAAAUGCUACCAACUGUGAGAGACAAGAUCAGUGGAAGAUUCACAGCCAGGCUUAAAAAAGGAGACCAGCAUUUUUCCCCGCACAUAUAG
Molecule: non-coding RNA, 297 nt
Organism: Pongo pygmaeus (Bornean orangutan)
Lineage: Eukaryota; Metazoa; Chordata; Mammalia; Primates; Hominidae
Source: the annotation of a RefSeq genome assembly